This 542-nucleotide ribosomal RNA is filed under the name uncultured bacterium. RNAcentral describes it as "bacterial SSU rRNA". It matches the Rfam family "Bacterial small subunit ribosomal RNA", at positions 777 to 1317 of the family's 1533-position model. The record is from RNAcentral.
AAUAGAUACCCGGGUAGUCCACGCCCUAAACGAUGUCAACUAGUUGUCGGAUCUAUAUAAAGAUUAGGUAACGUAGCUAACGCGUGAAGUUGACCGCCUGGGAAGUACGGUCGCAAGAUUAAAACUCAAAGGAAUUGACGGGGACCCGCACAAGCGGUGGAUUAUGUGGAUUAAUUCGAUGCAACGCGAAAAACCUUACCUACCCUUGACAUGCUCGAAAUUUUGCAAAGAUGUAAAAGUGCCCGAAAGGGAAUCGAGACACAGGUGCUGCAUGGCUGUCGUCAGCUCGUGUCGUGAGAUGUUGGGUUAAGUCCCGCAACGAGCGCAACCCUUGUCAUUAAUUGCCAUCAUUAAGUUGGGCACUUUAAUGAGACUGCCGGUGACAAACCGGAGGAAGGUGGGGAUGACGUCAAGUCCUCAUGGCCCUUAUGGGUAGGGCUUCACACGUAAUACAAUGGCGCGUACAGAGGGUUGCCAACCCGCGAGGGGGAGCUAAUCUCAGAAAGCGCGUCGUAGUCCGGAUCGGAGUCUGCAACUCGACU